CACCUUCGGGUGUGAGUAGAGUGGCGCACGGGUGAGUAACACGUAGGUGACCUGCCUUUUGGAGGGGGAUAACUCGGAGAAAUUCGGGCUAAUACCGCAUAAGUACAACAAAUUUGAAAGUAGUUGUAGAAAGAGUGCCUCUUUGCAAUGCACUUACCGAAAGAUGGGCCUGCGGGACAUUAGCUUGUUGGUGGGGUAAAGGCCUACCAAGGCAACGAUGUCUAGCUGGUCUGAGAGGAUGAUCAGCCACACUGGAACUGAGACACGGUCCAGACUCCUACGGGAGGCAGCAGUGGGGAAUAUUGCGCAAUGGGCGAAAGCCUGACGCAGCAAUGCCGCGUGAGUGAGGAAGGCCUUUGGGUUGUAAAGCUCUGUCAGAUAGGAAAAAUGGCAUAGAAUCUAAUAGGUCUUAUGUUUGAUGGUACUAUCAAAGGAAGCACCGGCUAACUUCGUGCCAGCAGCCGCGGUAAUACGAAGGGUGCAAGCGUUGUUCGGAUUUAUUGGGCGUAAAGCGCGCGCAGGCGGAUUGCUAAGUCAGAUGUGAAAUCUCGGGGCUCAACCCCGAAACUGCGUCUGAAACUGGUGAUCUAGAAUCUUGGAGAGGGAAGGGGAAUUUCG
This 618-nucleotide ribosomal RNA is filed under the name uncultured bacterium. RNAcentral's name for it is "bacterial SSU rRNA". It matches the Rfam family "Bacterial small subunit ribosomal RNA", at positions 75 to 671 of the family's 1533-position model. The record is from RNAcentral.